RNAcentral lists this ribosomal RNA (465 nucleotides) under uncultured bacterium. Its description in RNAcentral is "partial 16S ribosomal RNA". It matches the Rfam family "Bacterial small subunit ribosomal RNA", at positions 28 to 507 of the family's 1533-position model. The record is from RNAcentral.
GACGAACGCUGGCGGCGUGCUUAACACAUGCAAGUCGUACGGUAAGGCCCUUUCUGGGGGACACGCGUGGCGAACGGGUGAGUAACACGCGAGUAACCUGCCCACCACUUAGGGAGAACGCUAGGAAACUGGUGCUAAUACUGGAUAUGUGCUCCUGCUGCAUGGAUGGGGUUGGGAAACUCCUGCGGUUGUGGAUUGACCCGCGGCCCAUCAGCUUGUUGGGUGGGUAGUGGCCUACCAAGGCGGCGACGGGUAGCCGGCCUGGGAGGGUGACCGGCCACAUUGGGGCUUGGAUACGGCCCAGGCUCCCACGGGGGGCAGGAGGGGGGAAUAUUGCACCAUGGGCGCAAGCCUGAUGCAGCCACGCCGCGUGCGGGAUAACGGCCUUCGGGUUGUAAACCGCCUUCCGCAGGGACGAAGCCUUUUGUGACGGUACCUGCAGAAGAAGCACCGGCUAACUACGUG